Canis lupus familiaris (dog) is the source of this 573-nucleotide long non-coding RNA. RefSeq lists it as uncharacterized. NCBI's taxonomy places the organism in Eukaryota, Metazoa, Chordata, Mammalia, Carnivora, Canidae. The transcript is spliced from 3 exons. The record is from RefSeq and is a predicted model, not a curated record.
CAGUCCAGACCUCUGGCACUGAAAGUACAAGAGUCUUGUGAGGCUGAGGAACAUCUGCUCAAGAUCAAUGUACAAUUGCAGUUCUGGGGCAGAGUUGCUUCAAAGGAACAGUUGAAACACCAGCUAAUAGCAUAUGAUGAGGACCAAGAAUCAGAAGACUUAUAUUUGGAAACCAGAACCACCCAGAUUAUUUCAUUUCCAUGCCUCGGGUUUAAUGCCUUUGUGUUAUUUUUCCUCAUCAGUAUAAAAAAGGUUCUACCUCUUACAUUAUCCUGGCUCAUAUGACCCUGUUGAAGCAUCAUCAUUUUCUACAUUGACUAAUCUUAUGCCAAUGGCCAGAGAAUGAUCUACCAAUUAUAGGAAAGGGAGACAUGGGGAGAAUCACCAACAUAUGAGGAGAAAAGGAUCUUAAACAGGUGGUCCUACAAGGAACAGAGACUGGUUUCUACCACAAAUGUUGGAGAGGAUGUGGAGAAAGGGGAACCCUCCUGCACAGUUGGUGGGAAUGUGAACCAGUGCAGCCACUCUGGAAAACUGUGUGGAGGUUCCUCAAAGAGUUAAAAAUAGAUCUGC